This 326-nucleotide long non-coding RNA is filed under the name Salvia miltiorrhiza (redroot sage). Its description in RNAcentral is "long non-coding RNA (SMIL_LNC001745)". The record is from RNAcentral. Lineage: Eukaryota; Viridiplantae; Streptophyta; Magnoliopsida; Lamiales; Lamiaceae.
CCUAAGGCCCAUGCAUAAAGGCCCAAAGCCCAUAAAGCCCACGAAGCCCAUCUCUAAAAUCUAUAAAUAGAGGUGUUGGGAGCUCAUAAAUGACAACGUGAAGGAGUGGAAGAUCGAAGAGCACAAAGAAUUCUCUCUAGUAUCACAAGUAGAAGAGGCGGAGAAUUGGAGAGUUCAAGUAUUCUUCCAAGUAUUCAAGUAUCUUGAAGAAUUCUAUCUAACGUUCAAGUCUCCUUCAAAUCUUCAAUCGUUUGAGUAUUCAAAUCUUCAAGUAUCCUUCGAAUCUUCAAGUAUUUGAGCAUUCAAAUCUUCAAGUAUCCUUCAAA